RNAcentral lists this long non-coding RNA (672 nucleotides) under Equus asinus (donkey). RNAcentral's name for it is "lncRNA (ENSEASG00005025211.1)". Lineage: Eukaryota; Metazoa; Chordata; Mammalia; Perissodactyla; Equidae. The record is from RNAcentral.
GUUAGUUCAGGGCUAAUCUUCCUUAAAAAAAAACAAAGAAAAAGAAAAGUUAAGAUUUGAGAGGUGCCUAAAAGAAAAGUUUCUACAGAAGUCUGUUAAGUUUAUGCCUUUAUGAACACUUUCAUAGGAGUUAUAACUGAACUGCUUUCUGUUUUUGCAGGUUGACAUACCAAGGAGUGCAGUCAGCAGCCGCCCCAUUUCUAUGGAAUCAGCCUACAUUUUGGUUUCAAGUCUGGGCACGCUGCCUGACGGACAGGUACCACUGGCCGCCACCAGGCUCCGCUUUUUCUACCCUUGGAUGAAAUGGGAGACACAGGCAUUCAUUUCUAGCUGGAAUGCCCAGGCACAGAGACGCACACUCUCCACCGGCCUCCCUGCCGAGGACUUUCCUCGAAUGAGUCACCAGCCCUGAGGGCAGCGAAGUCCGAAGAGUCGUUCGUAAGGAAGCACGGCCUCGCCCGGCGUGAGAAAUCGCCCGGGCAACGACGGCCCCUUAGGAGGCCUCUGCCCACCCCGCCCUCCCGAGUCUGCAGUCUCCGUGGUCGCUGCGGGACUUUCCCCAACACGCCAGCAUGGCAGGAACCAGUUUCCCGGCUGCUGUUCGGCAGUGGUUUGAAAACUCUAAGCGUCACCGGGGCCUGUUUCCAGGGCCGUUUAGGUAGCCCCAUCUUG